GGGGGGUGUUUGUUUGAAUGGUGAUCACGUGACGGGGCGGUGACGUCACCCGCCCUGCCAGGCCAGGCGCCGCCGAGCCAGAGGGGGAGACGUCAUCAGCCUCGGAGCUGGGUCCGCUCGCCGCGCGCUGGCUCGCGGCCCGGCCCCCGCCCUGCUGUCCGGCCUGCUCUUGGCGCGUCCCCAGGGACCGGACCCGCGCCGCGCUCCAGGCCCAGCGGGGAGGAGGAGGGCUCGCUGCCAGCUGAGGCUGACCUCCGGGAUGCGAGCGGCCGGGAGAACGGGCGACGUGCCACCUGCCUUGGCCUCGCCGCUCCUCCCUCUCUCCCUCCCCGAGUCCCCUUCCCCGUGCCCCUCGGCCGCCGACCUGAACCGAAAGGGGCUUCCUGUGCUUUUGCAUACUCUUGUGCCCCUUUUCCUCAUUUCCUCAUCACUAACAGGCGGGGAAACUGAGGUUCCCCAGGCGAAGCGACUGACUUGCCCAGAACCACACUACUGGGGUGGGGGCAGCAAAUAGGCGCCUAAGAUGAAGUUUAGAGAAAAAUGAACAACUCUGCCGAUAGAAAAGUCGUCCCUACCAAGACCGACUCGAGCGAGUUGGGGCGGAGAGGUUCAGGGCAAUGCUUUCCUGUUUCCCAGACUUUUCUUUAAGGUGGCUUUAAAAUAUCUACAUUUGCCAUGAAAGUGUGAGCAAGCAAACUCCCACCGGGAAAUAAUGCUAUUCCUAGUCUUGUGGCCCCCGGAAGACUUGGAGCCAAGGGAGGCAGGUCAGGGGGCUGAAAUCCCGGUGAGGGGUCGCAAGGCCCCGCAGUGGAUUCCAGGGUUUGGCGUUUGGAGGGGUGAGGGGCGACCCGCAGCGCGACUCGACGGCGCCCCCCAGGGGCCGCCCGACACGUUUCUGUCACCUUGGCUCCAGACUGAGCUUCUCCAUCCCUUUCUUUAUUAUACAAAUAGGCAGUAUACACAGUGAGCGCCCACUAAGCGCUGGGCUGGGGGCCUCCAACCCGGAACAGAAGCCGGCCACAACCCUCGCUCCCUGUCGUCGCGGCCGUUAUAGGCCGAAAGCAAAAUCCAAUCCCGGGCCAUUGUGGGCGGAUUGCCAGGACCUGGAUCGCAACACUUGGGAAGACCCCCGCCCCGCCCAGCGAUCUCCGUGCCCUGAGUCCCAGUGACGGCCCCCUGGACAGCGGAGCCUGCUGCAGCGACGCGACGCGCUGGAUCUCAAAGCAAGGCUUGUUGGACAAAUAAAUGAAGAUGAGCCCAAGAGCCCAGGAGAGGGACCGGGAACAGCAGGGCCUCCGUGACUCACACAAGCUUCAUCCCUGAACCAAGGACGCAGCCUGCCAACAAUGGCCCCAAGCCACACCCCGCCACAGGGGGAACUGAUGCUGCGGUGAGAAGUGACAGCUUUCUGUUGACUCUUUUUUUUUUCAAGCAGAAUAUGAAUUGAGACAUACUUUCAUUUUCAUAAUCAGAACCUAACACUUAGUAACCAAUGUUGGUGGAAGCAAAUGAGAUCACAGUUUGUCUGUUCCAAACUCAUCUCUGGGAAAAGGAGGAGGAAAAAUUAUUGGCACUAUGUUCAGAAUCAUAGCUGAAGAUGCAGAAAUUGUUCAUCCCAAUUUUGCCUUUGUAAGUAAUGUGGGGGCAGUUCUUAUUAGUAAUUGCCAAUCUCUACUGAGACACAGUAUUUUGCUAGGCGCUUUAUAUUCAUUUCCUGGUAUGAUCAUGACAUUAACCCUGUGAAAUGCGUACCCUUACUAUCUCCAUGUGAAGAAAUGAGGGAACUGAGGACCAGAGAGGUGAACUGACUUGUCCAAAGACACACAGUAAGGGCUGUGACUCUCCGCUUUCUAAGAUUUUUGUUCUUAUCGCUCCACAGCACAUAGCAGGCGUAGUAUGAAGGCAGCAUGCUGCACAAUUUCGCUGUUUGUUUCUUGGAAUAAUAAUUUAUAGGGGACUGCUUCUAGAUUCCAAAGGAAAGAGAAAGGAAAUAUGCCCCAAACUCAGGCUUUCAGCCUGGCCCUGCCUGACUCACUGAGCUGCAUUGGACAAAUGAUUCAUUCACUGGCCUUGACCUCAGUGGGUUUGGCCACCCAUUGAGAGUGAAGUCACACCUCCAGCACUGCGAUGCAUUUAUUGAUCCACUCACCUAGCUUCAUGGCAGGCAAGAAACAGGCCUGUGUGAGCCUGCCCAGGAUCAGGGACAGGAGAGCACACAGGUGUUUCUGGAUAUCCUCAAGCUGUAGCUGGGCUGCUCGAUUCUUCCCUAGGAGAUCCUCCGGGGGCCUGAAUUAGUUUGCUAGGGCUUCCGUAACAAAGCGCCACAGACUGAGCGGCUUAAAUAAAAAUGUGUCAUCUCAUGGUUCUGGAGGCUGGAAGUCUGAGAUCAAGGUGCUGGGGAUUAGGACUUGAACAUAUGUUUUUUGGGGGCACACUUCAACCCUCCGGAGGGCCUGUGCCCCAAAGAGAGCCUCCUUCUGUGUGCAGUGAAGGUGUGAGUUCUAAACAUGAGAAAAAAACACCCCUUGUUCUUGGAUAGGGUGACUCGAUACCACAAGCAGGUCCAACUGGCCCAGGUAAAUAUAUUCGUUUAACAUGAUCGUCACCAAAAUAUUGAGGGUAGGUGUUUUUUUCUGGAGUUAAACAAGUUGAUUCUGGAGUUGAUAUGAAAUAAUAAACAAGCAAAAAUAGCCAGAAUUGUUUUUUUUAAAAAAGGGCAAUGGGGUGGAGGUAAGCCCUACCAGACAUUAAAACACAUCAUAAAGCUUCUGUAAUUGGCAGGGCACAGUGGCUCAUGCCUGUAACCCCAGCACUUUGAGAGGCUGUGAUGGGAGGAUUGCUUGAGCCCAGGAGUUUCAGACCAGCCUGAGCAACAUAGCGAGACUCCAUCUCUACAAAAAUAAAAAAUUAAAAGUUAGCUAAGUGUGGUGGUGUGCACUCGUAAUCUCAGCUAUUCCAGAAGUUGAGGUGGAAGGCUUGCUUAAGCCAAGGAAUCUGAGGCUGCAUUGAGCCAUGAUCACACCACUGCACUCCAGCCUGGGGGAUGGAGUGAGA
Molecule: long non-coding RNA, 3054 nt
Filed under: Homo sapiens (human)
Lineage: Eukaryota; Metazoa; Chordata; Mammalia; Primates; Hominidae
Description: HSALNT0097860
Source: RNAcentral